UUUCCAUUAUUUACCAUUUCAAAAUAAUAAUGAAUGAUUUUUUUUAAAAAAAAAAUAUUAAAUUAUUAAUAAAGUAAUUAAAAGGUCAUUAGACCUAUCAUAUCAAUCACUCUCUCACCUCACCAGCUCACCUUAUUACUCCACGCCACAUUAAAUAAAAAUUUAAAAAAAAAAAUUGCUAAAAAGGAAAUAAAUUUCCUUUACCACUUAAUAACUUAAAACCCUAUUUCUUUCUUCUCUAAUCUAUCUGUGCCUCUCUUUCUUUCUUCUCUCUAUCUGCGCCUCCUUCUCCAACCUCUUUUUUUUUCUUCUGUCCAUAGCUAACCAUAACUCCGGCGACAGGCUGUCAAAAUGAACAGCAGAACCAAAAUCCUUACCCCCCAAAACCUAUGGAUAUGCCACUCUCUUUUGCGUUUUGUCGAUGAAGGUUCGUGUCAAUGGAGCUUCAAGUUUCAAGGCAGUUCGUGCACGACAUCUUCGGAGCUUCGAAAAUCAGGGUUGUUUUGUGGAUGACAGAGCUUCAAAGCUUCGAGGUUCGUGGUUGUUUGAAGUCGACUGAGCUGUGGGGUUCAUAGUGGUUCAUUUUCGACGAAUGAUUGGGGUUCGCCACUGUUUGUGGUCGACGAAAACUGUUGUGAAUUUUUUUUUUGUUCUGAAAUGGUUCUGUAAUUUUUUUAGGUUCAAAUACAUAUAUAAUUUGUAGGAUUUUUUUGCUUGUUGUAAGAUUAUUUUGUAUAUAUAAUAUAUAUUUCUCUUCUAAAAUUAAGAUUUCAGAUGUAUUGUAAUAUUAUGCAGUAUAGAUUAUUAAAAGAAAUAUACUUAGUAUUG
Molecule: long non-coding RNA, 828 nt
Organism: Cannabis sativa
Lineage: Eukaryota; Viridiplantae; Streptophyta; Magnoliopsida; Rosales; Cannabaceae
Exons: 2
Source: RefSeq, a predicted model, not a curated record